UACGGAGGGUGCAAGCGUUAUCCGGAUUCACUGGGUUUAAAGGGUGCGUAGGCGGGACAGAAAGUCAGUGGUGAAAUCUCCGAGCUUAACUCGGAAACUGCCAUUGAUACUAUUUGUCUUGAAUACUGUUGAGGUUAGCGGAAUAUGUCAUGUAGCGGUGAAAUGCUUAGAUAUGACAUAGAACACCAAUUGCGAAGGCAGCUGGCUAAACAGAUAUUGACGCUGAGGCACGAAAGCGUGGGGAUCAAAC
RNAcentral lists this ribosomal RNA (250 nucleotides) under uncultured Sphingobacteriia bacterium. Its description in RNAcentral is "partial 16S ribosomal RNA". It matches the Rfam family "Bacterial small subunit ribosomal RNA", at positions 524 to 773 of the family's 1533-position model. Lineage: Bacteria; Pseudomonadati; Bacteroidota; Sphingobacteriia. The record is from RNAcentral.